RNAcentral lists this ribosomal RNA (446 nucleotides) under uncultured bacterium. Its description in RNAcentral is "bacterial SSU rRNA". It matches the Rfam family "Bacterial small subunit ribosomal RNA", at positions 29 to 524 of the family's 1533-position model. The record is from RNAcentral.
AACGAACGCUGGCGGCAGGCUUAACACAUGCAAGUCGAGCGCCUCGCAAGAGGAGCGGCAGACGGGUGAGUAACACGUGGGAACGUGCCCUUUGGUUCGGAACAACACAGGGAAACUUGUGCUAAUACCGGAUAAGCCCUUACGGGGAAAGAUUUAUCGCCAAAGGAUCGGCCCGCGUCUGAUUAGCUAGUUGGUGGGGUAACGGCCCACCAAGGCGACGAUCAGUAGCUGGUCUGAGAGGAUGAUCAGCCACACUGGGACUGAGACACGGCCCAGACUCCUACGGGAGGCAGCAGUUAGGAAUCUUGGACAAUGGGCGCAAGCCUGAUCCAGCCAUGCCGCGUGAGUGAUGAAGGCCCUAGGGUUGUAAAGCUCUUUCAGCGGGAAGAUAAUGACGGUACCGCAGAAGAAGCCCCGGCUAACUUCGUGCCAGCCGCCGCUGUAAC